Molecule: transfer RNA, 99 nt
Filed under: Hyperthermus butylicus DSM 5456
Lineage: Archaea; Thermoproteati; Thermoproteota; Thermoprotei; Desulfurococcales; Pyrodictiaceae
Rfam family: tRNA
About the family: Transfer RNA (tRNA) molecules are approximately 80 nucleotides in length. Their secondary structure includes four short double-helical elements and three loops (D, anti-codon, and T loops). Further hydrogen bonds mediate the characteristic L-shaped molecular structure. tRNAs have two regions of fundamental functional importance: the anti-codon, which is responsible for specific mRNA codon recognition, and the 3' end, to which the tRNAs corresponding amino acid is attached (by aminoacyl-tRNA synthetases). tRNAs cope with the degeneracy of the genetic code in two manners: having more than one tRNA (with a specific anti-codon) for a particular amino acid; and 'wobble' base-pairing, i.e. permitting non-standard base-pairing at the 3rd anti-codon position.
Source: Rfam by way of RNAcentral
GCCGGGGUGGCCGAGCGGUCAAAGGCGGCGGGCUGCAGUGCCUAGCACCCGCCCAUCGUGGAAACCCGUUGAUCCCGGGUUCAAAUCCCGGCCCCGGCU